RNAcentral lists this ribosomal RNA (496 nucleotides) under uncultured bacterium. RNAcentral describes it as "bacterial SSU rRNA". It matches the Rfam family "Bacterial small subunit ribosomal RNA", at positions 28 to 517 of the family's 1533-position model. The record is from RNAcentral.
GAUGAACGCUAGCUACAGGCUUAACACAUGCAAGUCGAGGGGCAGCACAGUGUAGCAAUACACGGGUGGCGACCGGCGCACGGGUGCGUAACGCGUAUCCAACCUUCCCGAUACUCUUGGAUAGCCUUCCGAAAGGGAGAUUAAUACAAGAUGGUGUUUCACUUUCGCAUGUUAUUGAAACUAAAGAUUUAUCGGUAUCGGAUGGGGAUGCGUGACAUUAGAUAGUAGGCGGGGUAACGGCCCACCUAGUCUACGAUGUCUAGGGGUUCUGAGAGGAAGGUCCCCCACACUGGAACUGAGACACGGUCCAGACUCCUACGGGAGGCAGCAGUGAGGAAUAUUGGUCAAUGGACGCAAGUCUGAACCAGCCAUGCCGCGUGCAGGAUGACGGCUCUAUGAGUUGUAAACUGCUUUUGUAUAUGGGUAAAUGUAGGUACGUGUACCUAUUUGAAAGUAAUAUACGAAUAAGGAUCGGCUAACUCCGUGCCAGCAGCCG